This 73-nucleotide transfer RNA is filed under the name Mustela putorius furo (domestic ferret). It matches the Rfam family "tRNA". Rfam says of the family: Transfer RNA (tRNA) molecules are approximately 80 nucleotides in length. Lineage: Eukaryota; Metazoa; Chordata; Mammalia; Carnivora; Mustelidae. The record is from Rfam by way of RNAcentral.
GCCUGGCUGGCUCAGUCGGUGGAGCGUGUGACUCUUGAUCUCAGGGUCGUGAGUUCAGGCCCCACAUUAGGCG